Molecule: non-coding RNA, 239 nt
Organism: Paramuricea clavata
Lineage: Eukaryota; Metazoa; Cnidaria; Anthozoa; Malacalcyonacea; Plexauridae
Source: the annotation of a GenBank genome assembly
GAACUUCUAACAGGAACUGAGGAAAAUUUUUUUGGCUUUUAGCAACAUUGCAAAUUCCCUCAAGGGAUUGCAAAAGUAAUGAGGAAAAUUGCAAUCAAUUUAGAAACUCAAAAGAGGAACGCUUCACGUAGUUUACCUGUAACAGUCGCUAAUGGAUUGUAAGAUGGAUAGAGAGUAUUUAUUACACGAGCUUAGGCCUUAAAAUCGGGCGCGUGGCUUUGCGGGCAUAAAUUUGCACA